RNAcentral lists this signal recognition particle RNA (295 nucleotides) under Phascolarctos cinereus (koala). RNAcentral's name for it is "Metazoan signal recognition particle RNA (ENSPCIG00000000513.2)". It matches the Rfam family "Metazoan signal recognition particle RNA". Rfam says of the family: The signal recognition particle (SRP) is a universally conserved ribonucleoprotein. The record is from RNAcentral. Lineage: Eukaryota; Metazoa; Chordata; Mammalia; Diprotodontia; Phascolarctidae.
UGGAAUGAUGACACAUGUCUGUAAUCCUGCUACCAAGGAAGCUGAGGCUGGAGAAUCUUUUGAGCUCAAAAGUUCUGAGCUUCAGUGGGUUCAGUCAAUCUGGUGUCUGAAGUAAGUUUGGCAUUAAUAUGAUGAUCCCCCAGGAUCAGGGGGUCACCAGGUUGCCUAAGGAAGGGCAAACCAGCUCAUGUUGCAAACAAAGCAGGACAAAGUUCCUUUGCUGAUCAGUGGUAGGAUUAGGCCUAUGAGUAGCCCCUGCACUUCCAGCCUGAGCAACACAGGGAGACUAGUCUUU